Periconia macrospinosa is the source of this 82-nucleotide non-coding RNA. NCBI's taxonomy places the organism in Eukaryota, Fungi, Ascomycota, Dothideomycetes, Pleosporales, Periconiaceae. The record is from the annotation of a GenBank genome assembly.
GCUCAGGUGGUGAAAUGGUAUCACGACACGUUGUGGAUUCCGCAGUUCCGUGUUAUUCUGAGUUCGAUUCUCAGCCUGGGCA